GACGAACGCUGGCGGCGUGCUUAACACAUGCAAGUCGUACGGUAAGGCCCUUUCGGGGGUACACGAGUGGCGAACGGGUGAGUAACACGUGAGUAACCUGCCCACAACUUUGGGAUAACGCUAGGAAACUGGUGCUAAUACUGGAUAUGUGCUCCUGCUGCAUGGUGGGGGUUGGAAAGCUCCGGCGGUUGUGGAUGGACUCGCGGCCUAUCAGCUUGGUGGUGGGGUAGUGGCCUACCAAGGCGGCGACGGGUAGCCGGCCUGAGAGGGUGACCGGCCACAUUGGGACUGAGAUACGGCCCAGACUCCUACGGGAGGCAGCAGUGGGGAAUAUUGCACAAUGGGCGCAAGCCUGAUGCAGCAACGCCGCGUGCGGGAUGACGGCCUUCGGGUUGUAAACCGCUUUCAGCAGGGACGAAGCUUUUUGUGACGGUACCUGCAGAAGAAGCACCGGCUAACUACGUG
This 465-nucleotide ribosomal RNA is filed under the name uncultured bacterium. RNAcentral describes it as "partial 16S ribosomal RNA". It matches the Rfam family "Bacterial small subunit ribosomal RNA", at positions 28 to 507 of the family's 1533-position model. The record is from RNAcentral.